GUCAAGUGUCACUGAGAGUUCCCUUGACCACUUCAUUGGGAAAUAAUUCUUUCUGAUCAAUUAUAUAUCUUACUGAAGUGUUUGGGGGAACUCCUAGUGGCAUUUGAU
Molecule: microRNA precursor, 108 nt
Filed under: Prunus persica (peach)
Lineage: Eukaryota; Viridiplantae; Streptophyta; Magnoliopsida; Rosales; Rosaceae
Description: miR395c stem-loop (ppe-MIR395c)
Gene: ppe-MIR395c
Rfam family: mir-395 microRNA precursor family
About the family: mir-395 was identified in both Arabidopsis thaliana and Oryza sativa computationally and was later experimentally verified. mir-395 is thought to target mRNAs coding for ATP sulphurylases. The mature sequence is excised from the 3' arm of the hairpin.
Source: miRBase by way of RNAcentral